This is a long non-coding RNA of Olea europaea var. sylvestris, 919 nucleotides long. RefSeq lists it as uncharacterized. The record is from RefSeq and is a predicted model, not a curated record. The transcript is spliced from 2 exons. NCBI's taxonomy places the organism in Eukaryota, Viridiplantae, Streptophyta, Magnoliopsida, Lamiales, Oleaceae.
AUUCCCCUUCUUUGUCUAUAAAUCCUGUCGCUGCCUCACCUCUUUGUAUUAUUCUUUACGCAUUAUGAUUUAUUUUCUAUUGAAUUUUCUGCCAGUUUGCAUCUAAUUCGAUUCUGUUACGAUAUAACAUGAUCUUGAUUGUUAUUUUUUCGUAAAGUUGAAAAAUUUUGUGGUGGGUAGCGAUGAUUAUAAAGUAAUUCCUCGUACUGAAUGCUGUUGCCACGGCAUGACAGACCAUUUUUACACCCAUAGAAUAUGAGCUCUCACCCAUCUAUUUGAUUUUAUUUAUUUGUUUAUUUAGUUUCAAUUUAAUAUUCAAUUUUGAAUGGUGUAGAUAUCGGCUAGAUUUCUUUGAAAUUUUGUUUGGUGAUGUGCCGGAGUGUAUUCUAUGUUGCAAUUAAAGGAAUGACAUUUGGAUUGUUGGUGCAUUUCAGCCUGGUACAGGGUUCAUGCACUUUCCCAGCAAGUUGAAUUUUGGAUUGCAUCAUAUAUCCUAUUUGACACUUGCAACUGACUAUUAUCAUUGAUAAUGCUCUCUUGAAUUGGUCGCUACAAAAUUUUCUGUAGAUCGUAGAACUGAAAUAAGCCAUCUGAAGAACAAUGAAUUGAAUUUGAGAAGACUCUCAUUUCAAUGCAGAAGGGCCUUAUCAAGGGCAAGAAGUUUAUAUUGAUUAUAUAUUCAAUGCAAGAUUUGUAGUAUGUUUAGUUGUGCUUAGAAGUGGCUUUUUAGCUUCUCUUGGUUGCAUGCAGAGUUGAUACUUUUAAACAUGACCAAAUGUCCUCUUAAUAUAUUGCAUUGAUUAUUGAUUAUAAGAUAAUCAAGGUAAACUUUUUCACUUAAAUUAUUAUAUCAGAGCAAAAAGUGGGUUUCCUAGUCAGUUUCAGAAGAAAAAAUAUUGAAAAAAACUAGUUUGGCACG